CUCACCUACAGAUACCAGUAUUGGACCCGCACCUCAAGACUGCCUCUACCUGGAACGACAGAAGGGUGGUUGUCAUAGGUGACUCCCUGCUGAGAGGAAUGGAAGGCCCUGUAUGUCAGCCUGACCCUACCCUACUCAGCAAGGACCUGCUGGGCAUGCUGAGGGUGAAGAAAGGUGCAUACAGGCUCUGGAAACAAGGGUGUGUCACCUGAGAAGACUACAGGGAUGCCAUCCAGACUUGCAGAUGUGGGAUGAGGAAAGACAAUGUGCAGGGUGAACUGAACUUGGCAAGGGACAUGAAAAACAAAAAGACGACUUUCUACAGGUACACUGGCCAGAAGAGACAGGCCAAAGCGAAUGUACCUCCUUUGGUAAAUGUAAGAGGAGAACUGGCUUCAACAGACAAAGAGAAGGCUGAGGUAGUGAAUGAGUUAUUUGCCUCAGUCUUCACUGGCGGCCAGGAUUCCAGUACUUCUCACAUCCCUGAGCCCUGCAUCCCUACACCUCUGGGUGGGGACUGGGGUGUUAAAUCCUCCUCCCUCCCCGGCUGUGAGGACAGAGCAUGUCCAAGACUGCCUGAUGAGACUGAAUGUGUACAAGUCUAUGGGCCGGAUGGCAUGCAUCCCAAGGUUCUGAAGGAGCUGGCUGAGGUGGUUGCCAAGCCAUUCUCCAUCAUAUUUGAAAAGUCGUGGCUGUCAGGUGAGGUCCCGGAUGACUGGAGGAAGGGUCAUGUCACUCCCAUUUACAAGAAAGGGAGCAAGGAGGACCCCGGGAACUACAGGCCGGUGAGUCUCACCUCUGUGCCUGGGAAGAUCAUGGAACAGAUCAUCCUGGAUGACAUGCUUGAUCACAUGAGGAAAGGGCGUGUGAUCCGUGACAGCAAGCACGGCUUCACCAAAGGAAGGUCAUGCUUAACCAAUCUGCUGGCCUUCUACGAUGGAGUAACAGCAUUGAUGGACAAGGGGAAGGCAACCCAUGUCAUUUACCUGGACUUGAGCAAGGCUUUUGACGUGAUCCCCCACCACAUCCUUCUCUCCAAAGUGGAGGGACCAGUGCUCUUUAACAUCUUUAUCAAUGACAUUGAUGACAGAAUCAAGUGCACCCUCAGCAAGUUUACUGACAACACCAGGCUGAGUGGUGCAGUUGACACAGUAGAAGGAAG
This 1162-nucleotide long non-coding RNA is filed under the name Phasianus colchicus (ring-necked pheasant). RNAcentral's name for it is "lncRNA (ENSPCLG00000005835.1)". The record is from RNAcentral. Lineage: Eukaryota; Metazoa; Chordata; Aves; Galliformes; Phasianidae.